CUUUUUUGUAUUUGCAUUUUUGGAAUUCUUUGUUUGCUUGCAUCUGAUUAAGACUUUUAGAUGAAUGAUGGGUGUGUAUAAUUUUUUCAAUCUGAUAAAACUGCAGAUAAUGGUCCAAUUGAUUUUAUUUAAUUUUCAUUCUCAAUCCAAAUAUCUUCUCCUAAACUUCACUACCUCUUUCUUCUCUUUUAAUUUUUCAGAUUUGCUCCUAAUUUCAUUGUUUGCUCGGCCUUCAAUACUUACAAAUGAAUGGCAGAGUCUUUCUCGGUAUGAGAUCAUUCAUUAGGAACUAUGAAAGAUGAACUAGCGAGGAUGGUAUGUUGAGUAUUCAAGUUCUUUUACAGCCUUAGUUCCCCAAAUUUACAGAUUGAAGGAUGAUGCAUAUUAUAAACAGACUCUAAUGAUUCUUUGGGCUUAUAAGUUAUAACCCAGGAAAUGAUCUCCAUGACACGAGGUA
Molecule: long non-coding RNA, 457 nt
Organism: Solanum stenotomum
Lineage: Eukaryota; Viridiplantae; Streptophyta; Magnoliopsida; Solanales; Solanaceae
Exons: 3
Source: RefSeq, a predicted model, not a curated record